CGUGCUCGAAAGAGAACCUGCACACAGGUGCUGCAUGGCUGUCGUCAGCUCGUGUCGUGAGAUGUUGGGUUAAGUACCCGCUAACGAGCGCAACCCCUAUCUUUAGUUGCCCGUAUUCAGUUAGGCACUCUAAAGAGACUGCCUCGGUUAACGAGGAGGAAGUGGGGAUGACGUCAAGUCCUCAUGGCCUUAUGUCCAGGGCUACACACGUGCUACAAUGGGCGGUACAAAGGGUUGCUAUCCCGCGAGGGUGAGCUAAUCCCAAAAAGCCGUUCUCAGUUCGGAUCGGAGUCUGCAACUCGACUCCGUGAAGUUGGAAUCGCUAGUAAUCGUGGAUCAGCAUGCCACGGUGAAUACGUUCCCGGGCCUU
This 370-nucleotide ribosomal RNA is filed under the name uncultured Desulfarculaceae bacterium. RNAcentral's name for it is "bacterial SSU rRNA". It matches the Rfam family "Bacterial small subunit ribosomal RNA", at positions 1013 to 1382 of the family's 1533-position model. Lineage: Bacteria; Pseudomonadati; Thermodesulfobacteriota; Desulfarculia; Desulfarculales; Desulfarculaceae. The record is from RNAcentral.